UACGUAGGGGCAAGCGUUGUCCGGAAUUACUGGGCGUAAAGAGCGCGCAGGUGGUUGAUUAAGUCUGAUGUGAAAGCCCACGGCUUAACCGUGGAGGGUCAUUGGAAACUGGUCGACUUGAGUGUAGAAGAGGGAAGUGGAAUUCCAUGUGUAGCGGUGAAAUGCGUAGAGAUAUGGAGGAACACCAGUGGCGAAGGCGGCUUCCUGGUCUGUAACUGACACUGAGGCGCGAAAGCGUGGGGAGCAAACAGGAUUAGAUACCCUGGUA
RNAcentral lists this ribosomal RNA (268 nucleotides) under uncultured prokaryote. RNAcentral describes it as "partial 16S ribosomal RNA". It matches the Rfam family "Bacterial small subunit ribosomal RNA", at positions 524 to 792 of the family's 1533-position model. The record is from RNAcentral.